ACAAGCGGUGGAGUAUGUGGCUUAAUUCGACGCAACGCGAAGAACCUUACCAGGGCUUGACAUCCCCUGACCGCGUAUGAAAGUACGUUUUCACCUCGGGUGACAGGGAGACAGGUGGUGCAUGGUUGUCGUCAGCUCGUGUCGUGAGAUGUUGGGUUAAGUCCCGCAACGAGCGCAACCCCUACGUUUAGUUGCUAACGCGUGAAGGCGAGCACUCUAGACGAACUGCCGUUGACAAAACGGAGGAAGGUGGGAUGACGUCAAAUCAUCAUGCCCCUUAUGUUCUGGGCUACACACGUGCUACAAUGGCCGGUACAGACGGACGCAAAGCCGCGAGGUGGAGCAAAUCCUAAAAAGCCGGUCUCAGUUCGGAUUGCAGGCUGCAAUUCGCCUGCAUGAAGUCGGAAUCGCUAGUAAUCGCAGGUCAGCAUACUGCGGUGAAUACGUUCCCGGGCCUU
RNAcentral lists this ribosomal RNA (458 nucleotides) under uncultured Pelotomaculum sp. Its description in RNAcentral is "bacterial SSU rRNA". It matches the Rfam family "Bacterial small subunit ribosomal RNA", at positions 925 to 1382 of the family's 1533-position model. Lineage: Bacteria; Bacillati; Bacillota; Clostridia; Eubacteriales; Desulfotomaculaceae. The record is from RNAcentral.